UAUAAUGUCUGAUAAAUGGGGUGAUAGUGCUAGGCAGAAGGAUCUGCCUCCUCAGUAGGUGGAUCAGCUGAGGCUUCGGGCUCUGGAGCUUGAGACUCUGAAGGCUGAGAGUGUGGCUCUGGUGGAGUCUCAGUGGAAGGCUCUACAGCUUGUGGCAGAUCGAAAUGGACUUGAAGCUGCCUUAGGAUGGCAGCUUGUUGAGCCUGAGAGGCUAACAUCUGCUCCUGGCAUGCUUUGAUGGCUGCCAAUUCCUGAGCAAGAUUGCUC
RNAcentral lists this long non-coding RNA (267 nucleotides) under Vitis vinifera (wine grape). RNAcentral's name for it is "long non-coding RNA (VVIN_LNC001538)". The record is from RNAcentral. Lineage: Eukaryota; Viridiplantae; Streptophyta; Magnoliopsida; Vitales; Vitaceae.